GUCUGACUUUGGCCGUGUCCAGAGGGAAUGUGAUGAUGUCAGCUAUGCAGGCGGCUGCUCCGGCGCUCGCCAUCUUCACUCCGAGAGGAGGAGGCACAUCAGAGGGCUUGAGUCCUACCAUGUUUCCUGCCUCUGCAGACAGGAUGUUACCAGGCAGGGUUUGAAGGACCAGAUGGUAAUCCUCGAAGGGCCCCUCUAGCACAGAAAGGGAAGAGGCAUCUCUCGCUCUUCACUUAUAUAUUUUCUGGCUGGCUUUUUACGGCAUCCGCAGAGAGGCGUCACUAUGUACCUCUGUAUGCCCAGGUUCAAUCAAAGUCCACUCACUGUGAGAUAAUCAAUGUUCAAUUCCCCUCACAGGGCAGACGCCUCUCAGGAAAAACAACAAAAACUACUUACGCUGUGAGAGAAGAAAUUGUAUUUCUCAAGGUUUGUUGAGAAAUCUUAAACAUCUUAACAUCUUAAAAUGUUAUUGCUUUUAAAUUUGAUUAACACUAUUUGCAUGCCUACAUUUGAUAGAGUGAGUAUACAUUUGUGUCAGCAGAUUUCCCAAAUCGCAUCCAUCUGUCAUAAAUGUACAGUAGUAGGUAAUUAUUUACAUUGUUGGAUCAGCCGUCUGGCUUGAACACUGCUGAUAUCUGAGUGCUAUCGGCUGAUUUUCCUGGGGGCUUGUCUGGGCUCUCAGCCAAUGGCAGCACAAACAUGCAAACGGCAGCGUUACAAAACAAAUCCCCAAUCUGUUCUGCAGACUUUACAGUAUUUAUAAUUUCACACUGUGCUACUAUGAAUAUAUUCUUCAAUUCAUUUAGAUUUCCUAGUCUUUGUUCAGCUGUUUUUUGUCAAAUCAAACGUGAGGAAUCAUAGAUAUGAGCGGUGACGUACAUCCGUGACUGAAGUUCACUCCAGAGGAGAUAAGGUCUUUGAAAUCACAUCGUGUUUGGGCUCACUGCGUAUUUGGCAGCAGCUGAGUCUGUUAGAUAAUAAUAAAUGUGUCCCACAUACAGCCCCUUGCAAAACGUUUUAAUACCCCUUCAAGCUUUUUACAUUUUUUAUGUUUCAACCACAAACUUCAAUGUAUUUUUGGACUUAAUUGUGAUGUGGAAGGUAAAUGCAGCAUGUUAUUUUUCAGCAAAUAAAAACCUCAGAAGUGUGCUA
Long non-coding RNA from Girardinichthys multiradiatus, 1152 nucleotides. RefSeq lists it as uncharacterized. The transcript has 2 exons. NCBI's taxonomy places the organism in Eukaryota, Metazoa, Chordata, Actinopteri, Cyprinodontiformes, Goodeidae. The record is from RefSeq and is a predicted model, not a curated record.